CCUGAGUUAAUUCAGACUAUAAAAGAACCAUGAACAGACCAUAAACACCAUCAUCUACAGCUGAGCAACAUCUUUAGUCCUACCACUGUGAUUUUCAUCAAGAUUACCAACAUCUUCAGAUCUAUUAGUGGAUUUACAAUCUAAUUUCAGUGCUGACUGUCAAGAGUUUGAGACCAUGGCACAAAACAACAUUAGCACCUUACAUUCAGGUUGGCUAUCUAAGGACUCUGUGGCAUUACAUCUGUCACACAGAAAGCAUUUGAAAAAUCAUAUUUUUGCAGAAAAAGUAUUUAUCUGGACUCUUUCAGUUAUUGAAGUUCCAGUCAUGCUCUUAACUUUGCUUGCAUUGUGUUUUCUCAUCAAAUCUCGGCAUGUUGCUUCAGUUUAUGUGAUUCAUUUGAUUCUUUCAGAUCUCAUACAAAUUAUUUGUAUGAUUUCGUAUACAAUACAAAAUAACUCUGUGGUGUCAAAUGCAUAUGAUUAUUCUUUAAUUGCUAGUUUGUAUUUUAUGGCAUGUAUUGCUCUUGAGCGAUAUCUUUUGGUUUGCCAUCCACUCUGGUACAGAACUCAUCAUUCAUUAAAACUCUCCUGUUUGGUUUCUAUGAUCAUCUGGUUCGUGCCUCUGAUCUUUGCUGACAUACGUCAUGAUUUGUAUUUUGAUUAUCUUCUGCGUGAAGCUAUAGCAUUUUUGAUCCCCUACCCAAUAAUCAUUCUCUGUUUUGUUGGUACUUGGAGGGGUCUCUCUCGCUCAAUAUCAAUCACUUCUCAUAAGCGCAGCUUAAUUUUGGGCAGCUUGUUUCUGGUGCUGCUGUCUUACACAUUUGUCAUCCUGCCUCAUCCAAUUGUGGAUUUUUUCAGAACGUUUAAUGACAAGAAAUCUUUAACAAAAAACGAAUUAACAUUUCAGAAAGUCUAUUUGUUUCUAGACCUUCUUCUGUAUCUGAACCCUCUUGCUGACUGUUUAUUGUAUUUGUUCAUGAGAAGUGAUGUUGGUGACAUAAUAAAGUCUCUUCAGUGCUGUUGUAAAUCUGACUCACAUCAGAAUUCAGUACGAUACACAACCAGAACAAACGCUUAGCAGUAGACUAACAGAUGUGUGAAGUGUUUUGAUGUUGUUUAUGAUAGACUUUUUCGGUACCUUUCUGUCUAUUGAACGUUCAGAUCACCACUAUGUUAUUCUGACUUUAACCAUUUAAGUUAUG
Non-coding RNA from Paramisgurnus dabryanus, 1202 nucleotides. NCBI's taxonomy places the organism in Eukaryota, Metazoa, Chordata, Actinopteri, Cypriniformes, Cobitidae. The record is from RefSeq and is a predicted model, not a curated record.